This 700-nucleotide ribosomal RNA is filed under the name uncultured bacterium. RNAcentral describes it as "bacterial SSU rRNA". It matches the Rfam family "Bacterial small subunit ribosomal RNA", at positions 94 to 825 of the family's 1533-position model. The record is from RNAcentral.
AGUGGCGGACGGAUGAGUAACACGUAAGAAUUUGCCUUUAGGAGGGGGACAACAGCUGGAAACGGCUGCUAAUACCCCAUAUGCUUUCGAGUGAAAUGGAUUUCCGCCUGAAGAGAAGCUUGCGGCUGAUCAGCUUGUUGGUGAGGUAAUGGCUCACCAAGGCGACGAUCAGUAUCUGGUUUGAGAGGACGAUCAGACACACUGGAACUGAGACACGGUCCAGACUCCUACGGGAGGCAGCAGUGGGGAAUUUUCCGCAAUGGGCGAAAGCCUGACGGAGCAAUACCGCGUGAGGGAUGAAGGCCUAUGGGUUGUAAACCUCUUUUUUCAGGGAGGAACAAAAUGACGUGUACCUGAAGAAUAAGCAUCGGCUAACUCCGUGCCAGCAGCCGCGGUAAGACGGGGGAUGCAAGUGUUAUCCGGAAUCACUGGGCGUAAAGCGUCUGUAGGUGGUUAAGUAAGUCAACUUGUUAAAUCUUGAGGCUCAACCUCAAAAUCGCAGUCGAAACUGCUUGACUAGAGUAUAGUAGGGGUAAAGGGAAUUUCCAGUGGAGCGGUGAAAUGCGUAGAUAUUGGAAAGAACACCGAUGGUGAAGGCACUUUACUGGGCUAUUACUAACACUGAGAGACGAAAGCUAGGGUAGCAAUGGGAUUAGAUACCCCAGUAGUCCUAGCUGUAAACAAUGGAUACUAGAUGUUG